This 834-nucleotide ribosomal RNA is filed under the name uncultured bacterium. Its description in RNAcentral is "bacterial SSU rRNA". It matches the Rfam family "Bacterial small subunit ribosomal RNA", at positions 45 to 892 of the family's 1533-position model. The record is from RNAcentral.
CGCCUAACACAUGCAAGUCGAACGAGCGAGAGAAAGCUUGCUUUCUCGAGCGAGUGGCGAACGGGUGAGUAACGCGUGAGGAACCUGCCUCAAAGAGGGGGACAACAGUUGGAAACGACUGCUAAUACCGCAUAAGCCCACGGUGCCGCAUGGCACAGAGGGAAAAGGAGCAAUCCGCUUUGAGAUGGCCUCGCGUCCGAUUAGCUGGUUGGUGAGGUAACGGCCCACCAAGGCAACGAUCGGUAGCCGGACUGAGAGGUUGAACGGCCACAUUGGGACUGAGACACGGCCCAAACUCCUACGGGAGGCAGCAGUGGGGAAUAUUGCACAAUGGGGGAAACCCUGAUGCAGCGACGCCGCGUGGAGGAAGAAGGUCUUCGGAUUGUAAACUCCUGUUGUUGGGGAAGAUAAUGACGGUACCCAACAAGGAAGUGACGGCUAACUACGUGCCAGCAGCCGCGGUAAAACGUAGGUCACAAGCGUUGUCCGGAAUUACUGGGUGUAAAGGGAGCGCAGGCGGGAUAGCAAGUCAGCUGUGAAAACUAUGGGCUCAACCCAUAAACUGCAGUUGAAACUGUUAUUCUUGAGUGGAGUAGAGGCAAGCGGAAUUCCGAGUGUAGCGGUGAAAUGCGUAGAUAUUCGGAGGAACACCAGUGGCGAAGGCGGCUUGCUGGGCUCUAACUGACGCUGAGGCUCGAAAGUGUGGGGAGCAAACAGGAUUAGAUACCCUGGUAGUCCACACUGUAAACGAUGAUUGCUAGGUGUGGGGGGUCUGACCCCCUCCGUGCCGGAGUUAACGCAAAAAGCAAUCCACCUGGGGAGUACGGCCGCAAG